CGGCCAGAAGGAAGACUCACAGGGGAAAGGACUCUGCCGUAGCCUCGGUGCUGGACACCUGACCUGUGCUGUUCCCACCCGUGGCUCACAGCCGCCAAGGGUGCGUUUCAUGCCCCCUUAAGGAAGCAACUUCCGUCGGCCCGCCCGAGUUCCCCAGACCACAGAGCUGGUCUUGCUAUGUAGCUCAGGCUGCCCCUCAGGCUGGCAGCCUUUCUAUCUCAGCCUUCCUAGACCUCGGGUUCUAGGCGCACGGCACCCUGCCUCCCUCUUCCUUUCAACGUUUAUUUCUGACCAGGCUUCUCUCUGGAUUCGGAGCUCAUGGUUGGUUAAGGCUGGCCGGACAGUGCUCGCCAGGGGUCCGCCUGUCUGCCCCCCACUCCAGUGCUGGGAUCCAGUCCUUGGCAUGGGUUGCCAGCACCCUGCGGACCGAGUCAUCUCCCCAGCAGCAGCUAAGAUGUUUAAGGAGAAGACUGAGAAGAGACUCGGGAGCUCACCCGUAGCAGAACAACUCGAAACUUUCAGCCUUGGAAUGAAAAUGAUACGUCAUUCUCCUAGAACACUUCUGCUACUAUGGGAACUCCGCACGGCAGACUUCGCCAUGGAAUGACUGUGUGUAUGGGGAGGUAGAAGG
Molecule: long non-coding RNA, 631 nt
Organism: Microtus oregoni (creeping vole)
Lineage: Eukaryota; Metazoa; Chordata; Mammalia; Rodentia; Cricetidae
Exons: 3
Source: RefSeq, a predicted model, not a curated record